Non-coding RNA from Pelobates cultripes (western spadefoot toad), 241 nucleotides. Lineage: Eukaryota; Metazoa; Chordata; Amphibia; Anura; Pelobatidae. The record is from the annotation of a GenBank genome assembly.
CUUGUCAGUUUGCAAUAUCUCUUAAAGACAAAGUACACAGUUUAAGAAAUACAAGAUUUCAUUCUAAAACUUGUAAUAUUUGCAUUUGCCCAUAACAAGGGUGCAUGUGUGUAUAUGUCGUUGUGUAUCUAUGUGUGUGUAUGUGUCCAGGGCCGGCCUUAGGCAAAUAGGCGCCCUGUGCGAAAAGUCUUCACGGCGCCCCCCACCAAGUUGCCUGAAUACAGUUACACACACAGGCACC